This 241-nucleotide long non-coding RNA is filed under the name Carica papaya (papaya). RNAcentral describes it as "long non-coding RNA (CPAP_LNC003593)". The record is from RNAcentral. Lineage: Eukaryota; Viridiplantae; Streptophyta; Magnoliopsida; Brassicales; Caricaceae.
UUCCAUUUUCUUCAAAUGUCGGAAAUACUCUAGGAGAUACUCUGCAUUGAAGGUCAUCAGGAACUGUUCCCAAGUGAUUGGAAGGGGCAGGGUGGCCUACUUGAGUCACCAGUGACUUGCCUCUCCCACCAGCAUGUAGGUGGCAAGUAUAACUCUCUGUUCGAGGACCAUCCCAAGAGUCGUGAAAGCCUUCUUUAUUUCAGCUAACUAGUACUCAGCCUCUUUAAAGGAGGAUGUCACU